CAGGCUUAACACAUGCAAGUCGAGGGGCAGCAUUUUAGUUUGCUUGCAAACUGAAGAUGGCGACCGGCGCACGGGUGAGUAACACGUAUCCAACCUGCCGAUAACUCCGGAAUAGCCUUUCGAAAGAAAGAUUAAUACCGGAUAGCAUACGAAUAUCGCAUGAUAUUUUUAUUAAAGAAUUUCGGUUAUCGAUGGGGAUGCGUUCCAUUAGUUUGUUGGCGGGGUAACGGCCCACCAAGACAACGAUGGAUAGGGGUUCUGAGAGGAAGGUCCCCCACAUUGGAACUGAGACACGGUCCAAACUCCUACGGGAGGCAGCAGUGAGGAAUAUUGGUCAAUGGGCGAGAGCCUGAACCAGCCAAGUAGCGUGAAGGAUGAAGGCUCUAUGGGUCGUAAACUUCUUUUAUAUGGGAAUAAAGUUUUCCACGUGUGGAAUUUUGUAUGUACCAUAUGAAUAAGGAUCGGCUAACUCCGUGCCAGCAGCCGCGGUAAUACGGAGGAUCCGAGCGUUAUCCGGAUUUAUUGGGUUUAAAGGGAGCGUAGGUGGAUUGUUAAGUCAGUUGUGAAAGUUUGCGGCUCAACCGUAAAAUUGCAGUUGAAACUGGCAGUCUUGAGUACAGUAGAGGUGGGCGGAAUUCGUGGUGUAGCGGUGAAAUGCUUAGAUAUCACGAAGAACUCCGAUUGCGAAGGCAGCUCACUAGACUGUCACUGACACUGAUGCUCGAAAGUGUGGGUAUCAAACAGGAUUAGAUACCCUGGUAGUCCACACAGUAAACGAUGAAUACUCGCUGUUUGCGAUAUACAGUAAGCGGCCAAGCGAAAGCAUUAAGUAUUCCACCUGGGGAGUACGCCGGCAACGGUGAAACUCAAAGGAAUUGACGGGGGCCCGCACAAGCGGAGGAACAUGUGGUUUAAUUCGAUGAUACGCGAGGAACCUUACCCGGGCUUAAAUUGCAACAGAAUAUAUUGGAAACAGUAUAGCCGUAAGGCUGUUGUGAAGGUGCUGCAUGGUUGUCGUCAGCUCGUGCCGUGAGGUGUCGGCUUAAGUGCCAUAACGAGCGCAACCCUUAUCUUUAGUUACUAACAGGUGAUGCUGAGGACUCUAGAGAGACUGCCGUCGUAAGAUGUGAGGAAGGUGGGGAUGACGUCAAAUCAGCACGGCCCUUACGUCCGGGGCUACACACGUGUUACAAUGGGGGGUACAGAAGGCGGCUACCUGGUGACAGGAUGCUAAUCUCAAAAACCUCUCUCAGUUCGGAUCGAAGUCUGCAACCCGACUUCGUGAAGCUGGAUUCGCUAGUAAUCGCGCAUCAGCCAUGGCGCGGUGAAUACGUUCCCGGGCCUUGUACACACCGCCCGUCAAGCCAUGAAAGCCGGGGGUACCUGAAGUACGUAACCGCAAGGAGCGUCCUAGGGUAAAACUGGUAAUUGGGGCUA
This 1437-nucleotide ribosomal RNA is filed under the name uncultured organism. RNAcentral describes it as "16S ribosomal RNA". It matches the Rfam family "Bacterial small subunit ribosomal RNA". The record is from RNAcentral.